Molecule: unclassified non-coding RNA, 89 nt
Filed under: Pseudomonas cedrina
Lineage: Bacteria; Pseudomonadati; Pseudomonadota; Gammaproteobacteria; Pseudomonadales; Pseudomonadaceae
Source: RNAcentral
UGUGGGAGCUGGCUUGCCUGCGAUGGCGGCGGUUCAGUAACUGAUGGGCUAACUGGCAGGACGCUAUCGCAGGCAAGCCAGCUCCCACA